This 469-nucleotide ribosomal RNA is filed under the name uncultured bacterium. RNAcentral's name for it is "partial 16S ribosomal RNA". It matches the Rfam family "Bacterial small subunit ribosomal RNA", at positions 28 to 507 of the family's 1533-position model. The record is from RNAcentral.
GACGAACGCUGGCGGCGUGCUUAACACAUGCAAGUCGAACGGAAAGGCCCUGCUUGCAGGGUGCUCGAGUGGCGAACGGGUGAGUAACACGUGGGUGAUCUGCCCCUUACUUUGGGAUAAGCCUGGGAAACUGGGUCUAAUACUGGAUAGGACCAUGCUGUAGGUGGUGUGGUGGAAAGAUUAGUUUCGGUAAGGGAUGAGCUCGCGGCCUAUCAGCUUGUUGGUGGGGUAAUGGCCUACCAAGGCGUCGACGGGUAGCCGGCCUGAGAGGGUGGACGGCCACAUUGGGACUGAGAUACGGCCCAGACUCCUACGGGAGGCAGCAGUGGGGAAUAUUGCACAAUGGGCGCAAGCCUGAUGCAGCGACGCCGCGUAGGGGAUGACGGCCUUCGGGUUGUAAACUCCUUUCAGCCAUGACGAAGCCCUUGUGGUGACGGUAGUGGUAGAAGAAGCACCGGCUAACUACGUG